GCCAGUUUUGCUCAGUGGAUAGAGCAUCAGCCUGUGGACUGAAGGGUCCCAGGUUCGAUUCCUGGUCAGGGCA
Myotis lucifugus (little brown bat) is the source of this 73-nucleotide non-coding RNA. The record is from Rfam. Lineage: Eukaryota; Metazoa; Chordata; Mammalia; Chiroptera; Vespertilionidae.